GUUCUUGUAGUUGAAUUACAGCAAUAGUUUUUCGUGCUAUCGGUUUAGGUUGAAGUCCUGACAGGAAUA
Molecule: transfer RNA, 69 nt
Filed under: Kalophrynus palmatissimus
Lineage: Eukaryota; Metazoa; Chordata; Amphibia; Anura; Microhylidae
Description: tRNA-Glu
Rfam family: tRNA
About the family: Transfer RNA (tRNA) molecules are approximately 80 nucleotides in length. Their secondary structure includes four short double-helical elements and three loops (D, anti-codon, and T loops).
Source: RNAcentral